GAUAUAGCUCAGUUGGCAGACUGCUUGCCUUUGAAGCACAAAGCCCUGGGUUCAAUCCCCAGCA
This 64-nucleotide transfer RNA is filed under the name Marmota monax (woodchuck). RNAcentral's name for it is "tRNA.Gln". Lineage: Eukaryota; Metazoa; Chordata; Mammalia; Rodentia; Sciuridae. The record is from RNAcentral.